Molecule: ribosomal RNA, 492 nt
Filed under: uncultured bacterium
Lineage: Bacteria
Description: partial 16S ribosomal RNA
Rfam family: Bacterial small subunit ribosomal RNA
Source: RNAcentral
AGUGAACGCUGGCGGUAGGCCUAACACAUGCAAGUCGAACGGCAGCACAGUAAGAGCUUGCUCUUACGGGUGGCGAGUGGCGGACGGGUGAGGAAUACAUCGGAAUCUACUUUUUCGUGGGGGAUAACGUAGGGAAACUUACGCUAAUACCGCAUACGACCUACGGGUGAAAGCAGGGGAUCUUCGCACCUUGCGCGAUUGAAUGAGCCGAUGUCGGAUUAGCUAGUUGGCGGGGUAAAGGCUCACCAAGGCAACGAUCCGUAGCAGGUCUGAGAGGAUGAUCAGCCACACUGGAACUGAGACACGGUCCAGACUCCUACGGGAGGCAGCAGUGGGGAAUAUUGGACAAUGGGCGCAAGCCUGAUCCAGCCAUACCGCGUGGGUGAAGAAGGCCUUCGGGUUGUAAAGCCCUUUUGUUAGGAAAGAAAAUCUGCGGAUUAAUACCCCGCUGUUCUGACGGUACCCAAAGAAUAAGCACCGGCUAACUUCGUG